This 502-nucleotide ribosomal RNA is filed under the name uncultured bacterium. RNAcentral's name for it is "bacterial SSU rRNA". It matches the Rfam family "Bacterial small subunit ribosomal RNA", at positions 32 to 510 of the family's 1533-position model. The record is from RNAcentral.
AAUCAACGCUGGCGGCGUGCCUAACACAUGCAAGUCGAACGAGAAGGUGACUUCGGUCACUGGAUAGUGGCGUCCGGGUGAGUAACACGUAGGUAAUCUACCUUCGGGUGGGGAAUAACGUCUCGAAAGAGACGCUAAUACCGCAUAAUGCAGCGGCACCUAAUGGUGAUUAGUUGUUAAAGCGGGGGAGUCUUCGGACCUCGCGCCUGAAGAGGAGCCUGCGGCAGAUAGCUAGUUGGUGAGGUAAUGGCUCACCAAGGCUUCGAUCUGUAGCUGGUCUGAGAGGACGGCCAGCCACACUGGCACUGACACACGGGCCAGACUCCUACGGGAGGCAGCAGUGGGGAAUUUUGGGCAAUGGGCGAAAGCCUGACCCAGCAACGCCGCGUGAAGGAGGAAAUCCUUCGGGAUGUAAACUUCAUAAGUAAGGGAAGAAAGCUGCGGAUCGAAUAAGUCCGCAGUCCGACGGUACCUUACGUAAGCCACGGCUAACUACGUGCCA